AAUGUCGGGAACUCCAGGGAGACUGCCGGUGAUAAACCGGAGGAAGGUGGGGACGACGUCAAGUCAUCAUGGCCCUUACGAGUAGGGCUACACACGUGCUACAAUGGCGCAUACAGAGGGCAGCCAACUUGCGAAAGUGAGCGAAUCCCAAAAAGUGCGUCGUAGUCCGGAUUGGAGUCUGCAACUCGACUCCAUGAAGUCGGAAUCGCUAGUAAUCGUGGAUCAGAAUGCCACGGUGAAUACGUUCCCGGGCCUUGUACACACCGCCCGUCACACCAUGGGAGUGGGCUGCAAAAGAAGUAGGUAGUUUAACCUUCGGGGGGACGCUUACCACUUUGUGGUUCAUGACUGGGGUGAAGUCGUAACAAGGUAGCGCUAGGGGAACCUGGCGCUGGAUCACCUCCUUAAACGAUGAU
RNAcentral lists this ribosomal RNA (416 nucleotides) under Vibrio parahaemolyticus. RNAcentral's name for it is "bacterial SSU rRNA". It matches the Rfam family "Bacterial small subunit ribosomal RNA", at positions 1127 to 1533 of the family's 1533-position model. The record is from RNAcentral. Lineage: Bacteria; Pseudomonadati; Pseudomonadota; Gammaproteobacteria; Vibrionales; Vibrionaceae.